RNAcentral lists this ribosomal RNA (207 nucleotides) under uncultured bacterium. RNAcentral describes it as "partial 16S ribosomal RNA". It matches the Rfam family "Bacterial small subunit ribosomal RNA", at positions 568 to 774 of the family's 1533-position model. The record is from RNAcentral.
CUCGUAGGCGGUUCGUCGCGUCCGGCGUGAAAGUCCAUCGCUUAACGGUGGAUCCGCGCCGGGUACGGGCGGGCUUGAGUGCGGUAGGGGAGACUGGAAUUCCCGGUGUAACGGUGGAAUGUGUAGAUAUCGGGAAGAACACCAAUGGCGAAGGCAGGUCUCUGGGCCGUUACUGACGCUGAGGAGCGAAAGCGUGGGGAGCGAACA